AAUUAGACCACUUAAUUUUAAUUUGUUUUAGAGAAGAUUACCAAUUUAAUAAAAUGUCUUUUUAUUAUUCCUUUUACAAAAGCAGAAAAUAAAAAAUCUUUUUAUGAUGCUAGUACAAGUUUGCACCGGCGAAGUCAGUAUGCUUAUGACAGACUUAUCCAAUGGAACUUUCACAAUUCUCGCUGUUUCAGACACAGAAAUGGCAUUACUGCUCUCUGAUCCGAGACAGACCUCGCUCUCCCUUGUUUCUCUUUUGUUAUAAUGGUAUUGGUACAGUAACAUUACGAUCUUUCGUUAAAAGACUGAUAAAUGUGUUUGGCGGAAAAGGGGAGGUGAUCAGCUCAAGCUCGAACAGUAGCUUAUGCAUAACUGGGUAUUCCCUCAAAAUUACCACGCAUACCAGAAAAGUCAUGCCUUGGUCGAAGCUUUGUGCAGUCAUGGCUGUUAAUUGCUGUAUCUCUGUCAAAGUAUCUAACUAUUACCCUUAAUAUAUUUGUGGUGGUGUGUUUAAUUUGCGAAAUUUUGUCUCUUGUUGUUGGUUUGGUGAAGGCCCUUUAGCAGUUGGAUACAAUGUAAACUGCUAUAUUUGUUGUGUGCACUGGCUGGCCUGUACAAGAGAACAAACAUAUUCUGCUGAAAUAUAUAAAUGUAUAUUAGUUUUCA
Molecule: long non-coding RNA, 663 nt
Organism: Daucus carota subsp. sativus
Lineage: Eukaryota; Viridiplantae; Streptophyta; Magnoliopsida; Apiales; Apiaceae
Exons: 2
Source: RefSeq, a predicted model, not a curated record